RNAcentral lists this ribosomal RNA (496 nucleotides) under uncultured bacterium. RNAcentral's name for it is "partial 16S ribosomal RNA". It matches the Rfam family "Bacterial small subunit ribosomal RNA", at positions 29 to 507 of the family's 1533-position model. The record is from RNAcentral.
AUGAACGCUGGCGGCGUGCCUAAUCCUUGCAAGUCGAGCGAACAGAUGAGGAGCUUGCUCCUCUGACGUUAGCGGCGGCCGGGUGAGUAACACGUGGAUAACCUACCUAUAAGACUGGGAUAACUUCGGGAAACCGGAGCUAAUACCGGAUAAUAUAUUGAACCGCAUGGUUCAAUAGUGAAAGACGGUUUUGCUGUCACUUAUAGAUGGAUCCGCGCCGCAUUAGCUAGUUGGUAAGGUAACGGCUUACCAAGGCAACGAUGCGUAGCCGACCUGAGAGGGUGAUCGGCCACACUGGAACUGAGACACGGUCCAGACUCCUACGGGAGGCAGCAGUAGGGAAUCUUCCGCAAUGGGCGAAAGCCUGACGGAGCAACGCCGCGUGAGUGAUGAAGGUCUUCGGAGCGUAAAACUCUGUUAUUAGGGAAGAACAAAUGUGUAAGUAACUAUGCACGUCUUGACGGUACCUAAUCAGAAAGCCACGGCUAACUACGUG